This 726-nucleotide ribosomal RNA is filed under the name Triticum aestivum (bread wheat). Its description in RNAcentral is "partial small subunit ribosomal RNA". Lineage: Eukaryota; Viridiplantae; Streptophyta; Magnoliopsida; Poales; Poaceae. The record is from RNAcentral.
AUGGAAGAUGGCGAAGAAGUUGGCGCGUUCGGGCGCCGACUCACCGCGCUCGUUGGAGAAAUUCAAGCACUUGGCGAGAACUUGCAGGAGCACGCCGUUGUCAAGCGGCUGUUCGCGGCGGUCCCGGAUCGCUUCCUGCCGAUAAUCGGGACAAUCGAGCAAUGGGGCGACGUCAAGAAGAUGUCUGUCGUUGAGGCCAUUGGGCGGCUGCGGGCGUUCGAGGAGAACCAGUCCGGACGGCGCCAAGACCGCGGCGACGACGGCGAGAAGUUGAUGCUGGUCUCCCGUGCGCAGUUGGAGGCACUGGUCCAGGAGGAAAAGAAGAAAGGAGAGGGUUCCAGUAGCGGCAGCAAGAAUGGCGACGGGCGUGGCGACAAGAAAAAAACCCGUGGCAAGUUCGACAAGUCGAAGAUUACCUGCUUCGAGUGCGGGGAGAAAGGUUAUUUCAACUCCGAGUGUGAGGCGUUGAAGAAGGAGAAGGCGCUUCUUACAGCUGCCGACGUUGACUACGAACCGGGGCUGCUGAUGGCGGUGGCAUGUGAACUUGCACCGGGGGCGGAGGAGCAGGUCACGGACGUCGUCCAACCAGAAGAUAUGGAGGUGAAGGAGGUGCUUAGCCCCUUGGCCAUCGAGGCCGAGUUGGAAGCGGCCAGGGCCGAGGCUGAGCAGUUACGUGGUGAGCUGGCCGAAGCCAAUGCGAAGUUGUAUGCUGUGUCCCACGAGUAC